AAGACCGUGGCUUAUCUGGUUGGCCGGGAAAAGCUAUCGCUUCCCCAAUUCAUUCGCGUGAGUGCGGGCUGGGUGGAGUCAAUGCUCGUUCUUUUGCGUGCCACACCGUCGGAGAGCGGCCUUCGUUGCCUAGCCAUCUUCUCGAGCAUCUCCCCACGCCUUUGCCACCGACUACUGCACAUGAAAGCAAGUGGUGAUGAGUACAGAGCUCCAAAGCAG
Molecule: unclassified non-coding RNA, 219 nt
Filed under: Hevea brasiliensis (rubber tree)
Lineage: Eukaryota; Viridiplantae; Streptophyta; Magnoliopsida; Malpighiales; Euphorbiaceae
Source: RNAcentral